GCAAUUCACCUGAGGUCGCCUCCCUCUGUCCAGACAAGGGCAGCCUGCAGGCUGCGGUGGUCAUCGUCCCGGCACUGAACUCCUUGUCCACACUGCUGGUCGUCAGCUGCAUCUUGUGGAAGACAUGCCGACGGCGGCGGGCCCGGCUCACCUAUCCCAGCCCACCAUCCCCAUAAACAACCCAGCUAAGCCAUUCUAGGACCAUGAUGGCCAUGGCAAUUCGUACAGAUGAUCCCAGCGCUUGGCAGGAGGAGAGAGGAGGAUGUACACAAAACAGUGCCUGUUACAGAAGACACUUGACGAACACAUGCUGAAUUCACCAUCUGAUGACGUGGGAGGAAAACACCACACACUUGGGAGAUCUCAGGGAGCCCCUUUUAUAACUCAUCUCCUGUGACCCGUGUGCUGGGAACGUUUCAGCCACCAUCCCUCAUGCUCCUAAACACAGAUGCUAUUCUCUCCUGUCUCCUCCUUUGUCCCCAUCUAAUUUCGUUGACAAAUGUCUUCCAUUCUUUUUUCCAAAUGUACCCACAGUCAUGUCCCCCACAGCCAUUGCCUAAUUCAAUUUUCAUCACCUCUGCUCUGGUCCUAAGCUUCCUGCAUUCUCUCUACAUCUAAUCUCAGCAGAAGGCUCUAUUGUGUGAAAUUUUUACCUUGAAACUAGGCAAAACUUAAAGCCCCAGUUUCUUUGAGUCUGGAGCCUACAUGUGGCUUACCCAGGUGCUGCUGACUCUGGGCCUGCCACAUGGCCACAGUCAGCUGUUAGUCUACGCUGCCAUGACCCCAAGCCCAGCCUGGGGGCCAGUCCACUUCCAUGUUCACUCAUAUGACUGUGAGAAGAUUUCAGAUCUGGACAUUGAUCAGAGUCAUCGGCUCCUAUACAUACAGACCCACCCACAGCACAGCCCAUAACACAGCUGCUGCCUUCCCCAAGCAGGCACCCCUGAACAAGAGCAGGCACCCAAGACAAACUGCCUUGAUGUCAUCACUUCUAACACCGUCAGUUCUGUAGUCUUAAUGGAAUCCUUAGGCUCCGCCCCUACUCCAGGAGGGAGAACUGAACCAGGAUGUGGGUACACAGAUGCAGGAUCAUUGAUGACAGUCUUAGAGACUGCCUGACACCUUCUUUUCAGGCCUCUUAGCUCAGCAUCUAAUGUGUAAAGAUGACAUCUUCUCUCCCCUCUUCAGGAACUCUGAUGACUCACUUGUACACCCAGAACACGCUCUUUCAUAACAGGCCCCCAACCUCCAGCCCAUUCUCACCCUCCGCUCUGCGCUUGAUCUCCCAAGGACUUUGAAUUAUCAUGGCACUAUUCCUGUCACAUGCCAUUCCCAUGAAAUGCCACUGCUUCUUAGCAAGUCUGCUCUGGGCUGGGCAGGCAGUUAUAUUUAUCUCUACUUAGACAUCCUUUGGAGAUCUUUUCUCUGAAACAACCCUCAGCACGCCAAAUUACAACUCUCUCCACUUGAGUACGUCAUGAAAUGGCAAAUCUAAUACGUCCAGAAGCCCAUUUCAUCCCUGGGAUUUGCCAGCGUUUCACUCUGGAGCCAUCCAUUCCCACUUCUUACAGAAACCUGGCCCCUGGUCCGGUUCAGACAGGACUCUCACCAAUUGCACUGGUGUCAUUAAAAUGUCUGGAGAGCAGUCAUUUGUGAUAGAGUGCUACCGAGUCAAUACGCAUGCUACUAAUAAAGGCAAUUAUGUUCCUCA
This is a long non-coding RNA of Meriones unguiculatus (Mongolian gerbil), 1711 nucleotides long. RefSeq lists it as uncharacterized. NCBI's taxonomy places the organism in Eukaryota, Metazoa, Chordata, Mammalia, Rodentia, Muridae. The record is from RefSeq and is a predicted model, not a curated record. The transcript has 3 exons.